AGGUGUGGGUAUCCAGACUCUAUAUUUUUUUAGACUAAACAGUUAUGUUCAUAAAUCCUUGUAUGCAUCAAUGUCAACCUCAGAUCUUUCAACUUUGAGUUAGAAAUAAAACUCCAGUCAUACAAAAGCAAAACCAACAAUGGCAAAAUAUAAACAAACUUUCUUUCUAAAAAAAUAUAGAGUCUGGAUACCCACACCUAAAAGAAAUUACAAAUGAAACAAGUCAAAACUUCUCACUGGAAGCUGACAACCGUCAGUUGUUCUUGGCAGCUGCAGCCUGCUUCGCACCAACAGAGAAGAACUCAGUUAUUACUUCAAGGGGCAUGCCCUUGGUUUCUGGAACUUUCAAGAACACAAAUACUAAUGAUAUGAUGCACACGACUGCAUACAACCCAAAAACAC
Molecule: unclassified non-coding RNA, 402 nt
Filed under: Hevea brasiliensis (rubber tree)
Lineage: Eukaryota; Viridiplantae; Streptophyta; Magnoliopsida; Malpighiales; Euphorbiaceae
Source: RNAcentral